RNAcentral lists this long non-coding RNA (2338 nucleotides) under Homo sapiens (human). RNAcentral describes it as "HSALNT0338230". The record is from RNAcentral. Lineage: Eukaryota; Metazoa; Chordata; Mammalia; Primates; Hominidae.
CUGGGAUUUGCCCAACAUAAUGAAUUGGAGGGGAGCGGUGGGGCACGAUUCAGUCCACUGCACACCGUUCUCCUCUCCAGACCUCUCACUGGCAAGUCCUUUCAUCUCAAUUUCAGUUCUGUGAGGCCGUCCUACUAUUGUCUAUCACCCUGUUUGAUUUUUUUGUAGCCUCAUCAUUUAUUCAUUACAGUUUCUUAAGUUCUUUUUUUUAGGGAGCUUGUCAUUGCCUAGAAGAGUGCUGGGCACACAAUAGGUAGGUAUUCAGUAGGCAUGCAUUGAAUUUUAAUUCUGACCUUUUGAAUCUGCCCUGUGUUAACUUCCUUGAGAGGGCUGUCCUGCUAAGGAACAAUGACCAGAUGAUGAGUGGCUGUGCCUAGGAUAGAGGGAGGGCAGCUGCACCGAGGGUCGGCUGUUUAACACUGACUCUGUAGGUGAAGGAGUAUUGAUACUGAAUAUACAACUAAAAUCAUGUAAUAUAGCACAUGAGAUUCUUAAUGCUAAAAUUAAGACUUUUUAACAUGAAAAAUGCUCUUAAGGGCAGAAAUGAAGCAAAUUUCAGGCAAGAUGGCAGACAAGACUGAAACGGAUUCAUCCAUCAACUGCUACAGACUUAAAAAACAAAAUAUGCCCAAUGCAAAGCUGAGCUCAGGAAAUCCUCAGAUGCUAGAGAUAAAGACAAAAUCCAGUUGCAGAAGUGAGUUCCAGGUGAUGCCAGGAGACCCCAGGAAGUAUCAGAUUAGGUCACAAAACUAGGAAUAAGGUUUUAAUGUCUUCAGAAAAACAGAGCAUUUGGUGAGAGAAGGGAACUAAUCCGAGACUCCCGCAUACAACCAGGACACUUGAAGGGCUGCCUCACCUGUGAAAAAGAAACUGGAAAAAUCUCUUCAAAUCUGUCUGUGGAAACAGAAAGACAGCCUGGUGUUUGACAAAGCUCUCGGUGGGACAAACCUCCUCUGAGAAAUGGAAACCUAGGAAAUCAAAAGCCCAGAAAUUAAGGGAAAGCAUUAGUCUCAGAUAAUGAAAAGGAAACCCUUGGGGCCCGGGCCAAAGCAAAUGUAAAAACAUGAACACUUGCAUAAUCUCGUACAUGGGACUCACAGAAAAUGCAACCCCUAAUAUAGAUGAGCUCGCAAUGAAAAAUUAUCCACCACUGUGGCAAUGCAGUCACCAAAAGGAAGACUCAACAGACCAAUGAGCAUAGACACGAGCUGUGGAGGUAACAACUGGAAACAGAAGAAUAAAAUCUCAAGAUAAAUAAUUUAAAAAUACUUAACAUGGAAAAAUAUUUCACUUAAAAAAUAUAACUUUUAGAAAAAAUAUAGUAUCAUUAACUUAAAAAUUCAGUAGCUAGGUUGAACAAUAAAUUCACCACAAAUGAAAAGAGAAUUAGAGAUCUGGAUCACGGAGCUGGAAGAUGAAUGCAGAGGCAGCACAGGGAGGUAAAGCAAUGGAAAAGAUCGCAGGGAGUCCCAAGACCCGGGAUGCUCCCUCGAGUCACUCACAGGAGCUCCAGAGGAAAGGACAGAUCAUGGGGAAAGGCAAUAUUUGAAGCAACAAUGACUGGGAAUUUUUCAUAAUUAAGAAAGAUGUAAAUAUUCAGAGGGAAAAUGCAGAUCUAGACACUUUUCAGAAACACUAUGAAACUCCAAAGUCAAGGAAAAGAUUAAAAGCAACUAGAAACAAAAGACAGUUUACAAUAAAAGAUCCAAAUUAGAUGGAAAUUACAUGUCUCAUUAAUAAAAUAGAGGUCAGAGAAAAGGGUAAAAAAUGUUCAACAUGCUCAAAGAACAAAAGUUAUUCAUCUACAAUACAACUUAGUAAAAUUAUCAUUCAAAAAUAAAGACAAAUCAAAUGUAUUUGACUAAGACUGAAGGGUAUUUUUUUAACCCCUGGAUCAUCAACUUUACCAAAGGAUAAAAUUUAUUAAAAAUAUGAUCAGCUUGUCGAAAGAAUGAAUCAAUGACACUCUGUCUUCGUGGAGAGCAGCCUGGGUGUGGAAUCAGGCACCCCCGGGUUCAAAGCCAUCACUGUGAUUGAAGAACAGAAGUCAUUCGUGAAGGACACAGCACACACAGCCCAGAGAGCUCGCAGGUUAAAACUGCACAUGGAGCAAUGUCUGCCAGCCAUUCAGGGUACUUCAAAAUAGGUCAGAAUACGUUUCCAGAAAGUGACACCUUCUUUUUGGGUUUGCGUAUAAUAAUAAAUCUAGGGGAUAAGAACAUAAAAGACUGGAAACUUCUUUUGUAUUACAAUAAUGUACUUCUAAAUGCAUUUUGGGUACAGACAAUUCCAUGUUUAUGCAAUGACUGUAGAUACAUAUAUAAGCUGAUUAAAUAAC